Molecule: ribosomal RNA, 429 nt
Filed under: Bacteroidota bacterium
Lineage: Bacteria; Pseudomonadati; Bacteroidota
Description: Bacteroidetes bacterium partial 16S ribosomal RNA
Rfam family: Bacterial small subunit ribosomal RNA
Source: RNAcentral
UAGGGAAUCUUCGGCAAUGGGGGGAACCCUGACCGAGCAACGCCGCGUGAGUGAAGAAGGUUUUCGGAUCGUAAAGCUCUGUUGUUAAGGAAGAACGAGUGUGAGAAUGGAAAGUUCAUGCUGUGACGGUACUUAACCAGAAAGGGACGGCUAACUACGUGCCAGCAGCCGCGGUAAUACGUAGGUCCCGAGCGUUGUCCGGAUUUAUUGGGCGUAAAGCGAGCGCAGGCGGUUAGAAAAGUCUGAAGUGAAAGGCAGUGGCUCAACCAUUGUAGGCUUUGGAAACUGUUUAACUUGAGUGCAGAAGGGGAGAGUGGAAUUCCAUGUGUAGCGGUGAAAUGCGUAGAUAUAUGGAGGAACACCGGUGGCGAAAGCGGCUCUCUGGUCUGUAACUGACGCUGAGGCUCGAAAGCGUGGGGAACGAACAGG